CCAUGGAAGGCUUCUGGGAGAGAGGAGUGAGAGUCCUAAAUAAAACAUUUCCUUGCCAUCCUUUUUAAACAAGAUUUGCAGUUUGGUGGGAAAAAAUAGACUGAUGUUGGAGCGGAGGUAGAAGGAGAGAGGUGCCAGAGAGCUCAGAAGAAAGUGGCUACAAGACGGCUUAGAGCCCAGGAGGGUCCCUGCGGCUUGAGUCACCUGCUCCUUAGUCACUUGGCUUUUGGUCUGGGAUCAAACUGGACAGUCGCAAAGGGCCAGGGAUGCCUCCUCAGGCCGAGAGGCAGGCCAGAGUCUCCCCUGAAGGAGCCUGCACCAGGGGCCCCACCGGCAGCUCCGACACGCAGCCACCUGCUUCAGGGGCCAAGCGGCCCGCCCCGCUGCUCAGGCCUCAGAAGACACACCUCCACGAGGGCCCCUGAGCCUGGGCUGCCCGACAGAGCUGGGAGGGGCAGCCGCAAGAUGCCGGUCGCCUUGGAUGGAGGCAUCCCUCUGGGCUCUGCGAUGAGCGAGUACAAUCCAGGUUACCUUUCUAAGGUAUGAGAAGACUGACUCUUCCACAGUGACUACAAAAGAAAGUCCACACUCCUUAGCAUGGUGGUCAAGGCCUUGCAAAAUGUGGCCAAAAUCUACCUUUCCAGCUUCACUUCUUGCUACUCCCACGUUACCCGGAUCUUGGUUCUCCGACCAGGGAUCGAACAUGGGCCCCCGGCAGUGGAAGCGUGGAGUCCUAACCACUGGACUGCCAGGGAAGUCCCUCUUCUGCAUUUUUGACAUGACUGUAUAUUCACUGCUGGACUGUCUGUUUAAUGGUCAUCUCUACCACCCAAGUAGGAGCUCUAAGAAAGAGGGAAUCAUGUCUACUUUAUUCCCAACUGUAUCCCUACAGCAUAUCACAGCCUAGUACCUCUGAUCUCAAGAAAUGUUUAGAGUGGAAAAAAAAGAGAAAAAGAUGAUGGGGGUAUUAUCAACAAGAGA
Long non-coding RNA from Balaenoptera ricei (Rice's whale), 981 nucleotides. RefSeq lists it as uncharacterized. NCBI's taxonomy places the organism in Eukaryota, Metazoa, Chordata, Mammalia, Artiodactyla, Balaenopteridae. The record is from RefSeq and is a predicted model, not a curated record. The transcript is spliced from 4 exons.